This 740-nucleotide ribosomal RNA is filed under the name uncultured bacterium. RNAcentral describes it as "bacterial SSU rRNA". It matches the Rfam family "Bacterial small subunit ribosomal RNA", at positions 57 to 810 of the family's 1533-position model. The record is from RNAcentral.
GCGCCCGUGCGGACCCCAUCGGGGUGAAGCGCGGGUGACUGAGUGGCGGACGGGUGAGUAACGCGUGGGCAACCUGCCCCGUACCGGGGGACAACAGCCGGAAACGGCUGCUAAUACCGCAUAUGCGCACAGUGCCGCAUGGCACCGUGCGGAAAACUCCGGUGGUACGGGAUGGGCCCGCGUCCGAUUAGCAGGUUGGUGGGGUAACGGCCUACCAAGGCGACGAUCGGUAGCCGGCCUGAGAGGGCGGCCGGCCACAUUGGGACUGAGACACGGCCCAGACUCCUGCGGGAGGCAGCAGUGAGGGAUAUUGCACAAUGGGGGGAACCCUGAUGCAGCGACGCCGCGUGGGCGAUGGAGCGUUUCGGCGCGUAAAGCCCUAUCAGCAGGGAAGAGAAUGGACGGUACCUGACUAAGAAGCCCCGGCUAACUACGUGCCAGCAGCCGCGGUAAUACGUAGGGGGCAAGCGUUAUCCGGAUUCACUGGGCGUAAAGGGAGCGCAGGCGGCACGGCAAGUCCGGUGUGAAAGCCCGGGGCCCAACCCCGGGACUGCACUGGAAACUGCCGGGCUGGAGUGUCGGAGGGGCAGGCGGAAUUCCUGGUGUAGCGGUGAAAUGCGUAGAUAUCAGGAGGAACACCGGUGGCGAAGGCGGCCUGCUGGACGAUGACUGACGCUGAGGCUCGAAAGCGUGGGGAGCAAACAGGAUUAGAUACCCUGGUAGUCCACGCCGUAAACGAU